Long non-coding RNA from Pseudopipra pipra, 1602 nucleotides. RefSeq lists it as uncharacterized. NCBI's taxonomy places the organism in Eukaryota, Metazoa, Chordata, Aves, Passeriformes, Pipridae. The transcript has 3 exons. The record is from RefSeq and is a predicted model, not a curated record.
GCUAUGAUGUAUUACAGAGGUGCUGUCUACUGAUGUACUACUCCCCUAAUUUAUCUCGCUGAGUCACCUGUGUCUCACAUAGUUUGUAUUUUUUCUCAAAUGUCUUUUGGUUUAUGUGACACCUGAAAUCCAAGAAGCAUGUCUGGUAACAAAUUCGGGCUGAGGUAAAGUCCUAGAAGUGGAAACAUAUGGAAGAAAUUAGGGAAGACAGACAGGUUAGAAGAAAGAGGAGAACAGAGGAAGGAAAGUGAGGUCAGACAUCAAGGACAACAAAAAGGGACAAGGUUUCACAGCGUCAUCAGACUUCAUUGAGACUCUUAUUCAGCUUCUGUAUGCGGAAACCGAAACUUAAGAGAUUAAGAUAACUGGUGACACUGUGCUGCUGCUGGGUGAGCUUUACGAGUCUGACUCUGUUCAACGAAGUGGAAUGACAGCCAGACACAAGGGUGUGCAGGCAGAGCCCUGACCCAGGCAAAGUGGAAAACAGGCAGCUAGUAGGAAGCGCUUACCUGCGUGUUUACUUCAGUAUUAAUUUUUCUUAGUUAAACAAAACAUCCCAAUAUCCUUGUAAUAUAAUUCUUUCACAUUAACUGGUGAGGCUGCAGAAAUCAGAGAAGUGGACCAAAGAUACCUCAUGAGGAAUCAGUGUGAAAAAAGAAAGGCUGCAAGUGAAGUGCACAUGCUUUGUCAAAGCACUAAGCAGAAUAAUAACUACUCCAAACCUGGUGGGCGUGAGCGUCUCUAGUACCCUUGAGAGCCUGCAUCUGUCAUACUGUCAUCACACAACUGGCAGAGUUUAAAAUAGUGAGGGGGACAGCAUAACCAGAUGGACUUCACUUGACAGAAAGCAAUGAUUCAUCCAUUCCUUCUCUAUCGUACCAGGGAGUGUUCAGAGCAGCUCCAGAAACAUUCAGUGCUGAGCUUUUCUUUUCCAAGAAUUCAGGGAUUGCUUAAAGACAACCUUAUAUGGUUAAACUCUCCCCAAAAUUCACCUGGAAGCUGUAGCUCCCAUGGGAGGUAAAACCUCCAUCAAAAGUAGAAAACAUCCACCAGAAUCAGGUAUUAGAAUCAAGGGGCACCAUCAAGGAUGGAGUCAAUUUUCUUCAUAACAGCCCAUAUAGUGUUGGGGUUUAGCCCAGUGACCAAAACAGUGUUGAUAACACAUCAACGUUUUAGCUCCAACAUUUAGCAUUUGUUUCUGACUGCGUCCCCAGGUGAGUAGGCUGGGGGUGGACGAGAUGAUGGGAGGUAACACAGCUGGGACAACUGACUGCAGGGAUCUCCCAUGUUGUCUAAUGGUAUGUUCAUGGGGCUAGCAGUCAGGAUCAACCAAGAGCCCAGAUUUUCAUGCUGACGAGGCAGGUCCUAUGUCAAGCUGUGGAGUCAAUCCUUAGGUCAGGAUCAGGUCCUGUGAUGGCAACCAAGGUCACACAGAGACACUGAUCACCAGGCUGGUCCAUAGAGAUGAGACAGGUCUGAGAUUAACCCAGAAAAUCAGUUCAUGGGUCAGGAAACAGAUCAACAGGAUCCAUGGCUUGCCAUGGGCAUGGACAUAUGCAUGAAUGUGAGAGAUGGAGACAAACACAACUACAUCGCAGCUCA